UGAAGCGAUCUCUGCCGGCUGCAUCUGUGAGAGAGCUGUGGGCCGAGCUGGGAAACGUCAGGAAUCCUCCUUUACACACAGCGCUCUCUGCGAGAUCGUGCUUUGGCAGCAGGCGUGGUAAAAUCGGAACGAGGGGUGAUUUAAAAGCUGCGACCAGAAUUCUGAUUUAGAACAAUGACAAGAAACGGAGCUGCCGGAGCUGAUUAACUAGCUUGAUAUUUGGAAAACUGCUUUGUUUGUGGGAGAGGUGUGUCCUGAAGAAGUAAUGUACUGCAGUCUGCCCUGUUAACUUCAUGGGAAAAGAGUUUAAGAGGAAACUUUUAAAAGAAAAUAGAGCUUUUCCAGGCUGAAGCUGAAGAGUUGGGAAGAAAACACAAAAUGUCUCCUGAAUCCAAAAAACUUUUCAACAUAAUUAUUUUGGGAGUCUCAUUUAUGUUUCUAUUCACUGCUUUCCAAACAUGUGGAAAUAUUGCGCAAACUGUUAUCACAAAUUUAAACAACACGGAUUUUCAUGGCAGUGGCUACACAAGCAUGUCCAUUAUUUAUGGAGUAUUCUCUGCAUCAAAUCUUAUAUCACCUUCAGUAGUUGCGAUAGCAGGACCUCAAUUCUCCAUGGUUAUUAGUGGCAUAUUUUAUAGCCUGUACAUUGCAGUUUUUAUCCAACCCACUACAUGGGCUUUCUACACUGCUUCUGUAUUUAUUGGCAUUGCAGCUGCUGUACUCUGGACGGCACAGGGAAAUUGCUUGACUAUAAAUUCUGAUGAAAACACCAUUGGAAGGAACAGUGGAGUAUUUUGGGCACUCUUGCAGUCCAGCUUGUUUUUUGGAAACCUCUAUAUAUACUUCGCUUGGCAAGGAAAAACUCACAUAUCAGAGAGUGAUCGCAGAACUGUCUUCAUUGCUCUGACUGUUAUCAGUCUUGUGGGCACAGUUCUGUUCUUUCUGAUUAGGAAACAAGAGGACACAAAAGCUCCAGGGGAGGAAGAUUCUGCUAGUGAAAUCCUGGAGGACAGCUCGUCUGCACAAAACAAAAUGAUGAGAGCAGUGGCUGCCUUCAAGCAAUCUAUAAAGCUGAGCUUCACCAAAGAAAUGAUGCUUCUCAGUGUUACAACAGCCUACACAGGUUUGGUAUUAACAUUCUUUUCUGGAGUAUACGGAACAUGUAUUGGUGCUGUGAAUAGGUUUGGCAGUGAAGAGAAAAGCCUUAUUGGUCUUUCUGGUAUUUUUAUUGGUGUUGGAGAAAUUUUAGGUGGAGGAAUCUUCGGUUUACUGAGCAAGAAUAAUCGCUUUGGCAGGAACCCUAUUGUGAUGCUAGGCAUCGUUGUCCAUUUCAUCGCCUUUUACUUAAUUUUUUUCAACAUGCCAAAUGAUGCCCCUAUUGCUCCUAUGGAAGGAACAGAUGACAUUGCUUAUAUGAUGCCAAGCAAAGAGGUGGCCAUAUUCUGCAGCUUUCUGUUGGGCCUGGGGGACAGCUGCUUUAAUACCCAGCUCCUCAGUAUUUUAGGAUUCCUGUACUCAGAAGACAGCGCUCCUGCCUUUGCCAUCUUUAAGUUUGUUCAGGUGUCUGGGUUAGAAUUGGUGAUAAUUGAGACAGGCUCACACAAUGAUUAUCCUAAUGAAAAUGCUGACUUCAACAAUAAACCAGCGGGGGCCGCUUGGGGCUGUGUGCUGUACCCCUUUGCUACGGGACCGGGCGCUCGGUGCCAAACGCAGGAGGCAGCGGAAAGAAUCGCAGGCUGCUGGAGCGCCUCUGGCCUGUUCAAGCGGAGUGACUGACGGAGGAAAACACAGGCGGAGGAUAAGCAAUAGUGACAAACUCUUAAGGUGGCGGGGCAGAAAAAAGGAGCGAGAAUACCCUGAGCCCCUCAAGAAAUCUGCUAACCAGGAGAAAGUCGAGAUCAAAGAUAAGCCUCCUAAUCCAUUAUCAGCAAAUGCAAUCAGACUCUCCAUCUGCUAUCAAAGGCCCCUGCAGCCCGACAACUGGGAGCCAGCCAUCCGCUGCCUGCCUGCACAGAUGCUUGGUCACCGCCGCCCCUUCGCUCGCCUCUCUCUAGAUUCAGCCUGGUGUCAUCUUCGAUUAGUGGGCUUGUGUUCGAAGUCUGUGUCUCCUCUCGGGGAAAAAGCCAGGUAGAGCUGAUGAGUGGAAGCUCACGCCUGCACCUUAGCUGAAAAAUAAGCGCUGGGUGGUUUAUAGAGCCAUGUUCAAUUUAGUGCUGUGGGCUCCUGUCCAGAAAUAAGAGCCCUUUCUUGGUCAGGGUUGCUUUUGAGAUUUUGUCUGCAGGAGGAGGAGACAGAGGGGAAACUCUUGUGAUGGGUUUUUAUUAAUGGCAUGGGUGGGAGUGCUUGGUUCCUUUCCACCUCCCUCUGUGUUUGAGCUCAGACCCGUUCGGAGGGGAGCAGCGGCAGCCUGGGGUGCGCAGCUCCAGCACGUCAGGUCUCUGUAGAUGCUCACCAAGGAGAAGUUCCUGCCUUGGGGGAAUUCACAGUCUAAGCUGAGGACCCUGUUUUGCAGGUAGGGCACAAAGGUAUUACCUGACUUCUCGAUGGCGUUUGAGUGCGGAGCUGAGAUUUGCAGGCAGGGCUGUGGUGUGCAGCUUUGUCCUUCCUACAAGACCAUCUUUCCUGCCCUCCUGCUCCUCGGGUUGGACAUCACAGAAUCCCAGACUGCCUGAGGUUGGCAGAGACCUCUGGAGGUCAUCUGAUCUGACCCUCUGCUCAAGCAGGUCCACCCACAGCAGGUUGCCCAGGACUAUGUCCAGCUGGCUUUUGGAUAUCUCCAAGGAUGAAGGCUCUACCACCUCUCUCAUCCUCAGGUGCUCAGUGUGGUUUAUGGCUGACUCCAUGAGCAACAUGGCAAUCUGGCUCAGGGGGCUGAUCCAUGCUCAUUGCAGGGGCAUUGGACAAGAUGACCUUUAAAGGUCCCUUCCAACCCAAACCAGUCUGUGAUUCUAUGACCCCUUGUGCCCAAGCUGCAGAAGCUUUGCCUCCCUUGGUGGCCCUCAUCUGUCCAGGUGGUAGCGAUGGAGCAGUAGUGGGACGGUUUGUUGGAGAUCUGUCACGAGUGCACCAGGCGUACAGCCACAUGGGCACAUUUCGAUCUGUGUCAACCCCAUUGCGCUUUGCCCACUGGCCACAUGUUAGGGUUUGGGAACCUGCUAACGGUUCCUACUUCUUUCUCUAUUCCUAUUUCCUUUGAAAUAGUCAUUAUUCAAAAUAAAAAUCUGUCCCAGGUAAUUUCAGGAUUCAACUUGCUGCACAAAAUGAGCAAAGGAGUGAAAAUAACAGCGAGUAAAGAAUGGUUUAAUUUAGUAACUCAUUUUCUAUAAAGUAAUUAUUUUUUUUAAAAAAACUGGGAUUUGCUAAAAGUAUCACAAUUACUUUUUUCAUUAUGGCUACAGAAUGAAGGCGCUUGUUUAAUUAGCAAACAUUUGGCAUGCCUCUAAAUAGGCUUUUAAUUACAUUAAAAGGACACUGUCAAGGUGUCUUUCAUCAUUUUUAAUAGACCUGGAUUCCCCCCCCUCCCCGCAGUUGGAUGCAACUGUUUGGGUUUGAUUGGCUGUUUCAGACAAAAACUGGAGAAACUGUUUCCCUAGAAAGGAUAAAAGGCUCGGUCGUCUGUCCGCAGCUGAGCUGUGGUCCUCUUGCCUCCUCUGUUUCUCCACUUGCUGGUACCUGCUUUGCAGCGUGCGCAGGGAGGUGGGAUCCCUGCCACCCACGGCUCAUCGCCCAGGGACCCUUUGGCCUUGGUGGCACCUCUCCUGCCCCAGCCAGCCCCAAGAGUCACCCCACCUGUACACCCUGUGCUAAACCAGCAGGUUUUGCCCCAUAAAUUCCCCCAUGUGUUGUUCCUGGCCCCUCCCUGGUGAAGCAGAUGCUGGUACUACAGCCUUACUGCUCCCAGCUGCUCCGAGGAGUAGCUCUCCUAAUAAAUCACUAGUGCUCUAACUGAGCUUGAUGCGAGCUCCCGGAGGAAACUCAGCUCUGGGUGAGUUCCCCAGGCUCCUGCUUGCCUUCGGAUACGCGGCGUGCUCCUUCCACGGGCUGCAAGAUGUUGUUGGCAGGGGCCAAACCUGAUUAACCCCGGCUGGUGGCGGGGUGCUGUGUGUCCCCUGCCCGGUGCUGGGGAGGCUGGGCAUGCCCGUGCUGUUGGUAAAUGAUAAAUGAGGCUCUGAGCAGCAGCCCCAAGCGUGGCAGAGGCCGUUCGUCUGCAUCCCCCCCGGCAGGAGCUCAGGUUCCUGGCCCCGUUUUGGGGAAGGCUCUCUAAUUGAAAUAGAUGGGAGUUGCUGCAGGCAGAGGCAGCCUGGCGUGAGCAAAGGCUUCCCAGGGUGCCCCCAAAGGGCAAGAAAUAACAGCAAACCGGGGCGGGGUGGUGGGGCGGCAGGGCCAGUGGCAAUUCCCAGCCCUGUGGGGAUGCGUGACACAGGGGGUGGCACCAGGGCUGGCUGGGGACACGUGCUGGUCCUCUCUGCCCGCCUCUGAGCCAUGUGUCUGCCGUGCUCCUUGUGCCUCUUCAGGCUGAACAACCGGACUGAGAUGCCUCUUGUUUCAUUUCUGCUUGUGCUUCAGUCAUCAUUACUGUCCUCUGAGGAGAAGGAGCUGCAGGGAAUUAAAAUAUCGAGCAUCUUUGCUUUAAUAUUAUUGACUUUCUGCUCUGUCUGGUGCUGGCAGGGUUCCCUGCGGCCAAAUCCUCCUCCAGUGUGGUCUGAGUACCUCCUCUGGGGUUCCUCAAAUUUUCCCCUUCUUUUCUCCUCCACCCCAUCCACCACCUGCCUGUUCUUCUUCCUGCUCCCCACACAGUCCUUUACUUCUCCCGCGGUGACUGCCACCCCCCACGUGGCCUCGACCCCAAAGCAGAUGGAGAUGCGGAGCAGUGGGAGCCCAAGCUGGGCAGCAGAGGAGCCAUGGCCUUUCCUCCAUCCCUCUUGCUGGAAGGAAUUGCUGCACAGCUCGUCCACCCACCUUUUCGAAAGGGAAGCGAUGCCCCUUCCUGCCUCCCGCCUCGGCACCGGCUCCAGUUUCCAGGGAGACAGCCGCUGGGAAAGCAGUGGAAGCGCUGGAGCUGGCAGGAUCGCACAGCUCCACGUCAGGCAGUGGGUACCCCAGGGGUUCUCUCCGCCCCAGCCUGUUUCCCACCCAUGGGGGACAGAGGGACCCGCUCCCCCAGGAGCAGCUCCUGUCCGUUUGUCCUGCUCGGCAUCGCUGUGUGACAGUUCCUGGGCGGAGGGGACAGUGCUGCAGGAGCUGCCCCUUUCCUGCGUCCCUCCUGGGGGUCAUAAAGCCUCUUUGCUUUGCAGGAUCGGGGCCAGAGAGGGGUGCAGGAGCGGGGUCGUGGUGGGAGCAGUGCUGCUGUGCUGCCUCCAUGACUGUCGGUGUCCCCUCUGCCCCAGGGUGCCUGUCCCCUGGAGCUACGGGGGGGUGGAUGCUGGGAUGGAGGGGUAAAAUCCAGCCCGGGCUGGUGCCCUGGGAAUGUGGCUGCCCCGAUGCUGCUCUGUGCCCCGUCGCCGGUGUCACGGGGAGCUGAGGUCCCCAAAGUGUAACCUGCACACCAGCUUCAUCCCCACACCCGCCACUGAUGGAGAAGUGGAGCAAAUGGUUGUGAAUAACUAUGAUCACAGCUUUGCAAGGCUUCCAUAAAAUAUGAAUGCAUGAUAACAUCUACAUAAAUUAUUCAAGAUAAUCAGCACGGGGGAUAUUUCCCUGGCAAUUUCAUGUGGGCUCCUGGAGCUUGAUUGCCCCACCCACUGGGUAUGCAGCAGAAAGGGAAGGUCCUGGGCAUCCCAGGUCUUCCAGCUCCUCCCGUCGCUCUCCUUAGAUUAGAAACUGUUCUCCCUCCUGCCUCGAUGCACUUUCCCCCAGCUCCCAGCACUAUUAACACCUCUAAUUAGAGCUGCUUAUUGAUGUACUGCUGUUUGUCUAAGUGCGGCUGAUCAAGGCAGAGAAGCUAUCAAGCCUAAAAGUGAAUUGCACCUCCCUGCCUUGCAGUGCAGCAGCCUGCACGCCCGACAUGGUGCUUCUCAGCUCUGGGGGACCAAGGAGAAAAGAAGCAGGAUAGGGAAGAAAGUGCAGAAUAAGCGCGUGCUGCUGGCCAGCCACAACUGUGCCUUGUGUCUGCGCAAGCGACUGCAGGUAAUCCUGGCGUUUUCCUGGCUGGCAGUCGUUACAUGAGCGUGCUGUGCGUGCAGUAUCCCUCCGGAGAAAGGUGUCCCUCGCGUGGAUGCCUGUAUUCAGUACUGCCCCAUGGGGAAAAAUACCCAUCGGUAGAGCGGGUGCUCUGAGGCAGAGGUGUUUUCUUUUGGGCACUUACAGAAAUACCCGCCCCGUGGGGUCACUGGAGCUGAGCACCCAGAAAGCAGACCCAGCACCUGGGGAUGGAUGGAUGGAUGGAUGGAUGGAUGGAUGGAUGGAUGGAUGCUCGCUGCAGGAGAGCCCUGAGCACAGCGAGCUUGUGGGUGUGAGCGUGGGGGCAGGAGCCAAAACUUCCAAAGCAGCUGAGCAUGGGGGUCCCCCCCACGGCUGGGGUGCCAGGGGACACGGUCCUGUUCUCUCCUCCCAGCACAAGUACUCUAAAGUGCCUGGACGUUUGCACCUCCGUAACACCACCCCCGGACGAGAGCAAUUCCCGGUGCUGAGGCACUGUCUGAGGAUGCGGCUGGUACUGGUGUAACUGGUGUAGGGACGGAGAAAGGAAGGUUAACUUAGCACCGUGAGGACAUGCGUUUGGACUCUGCCUCCUGCCAGCGGCUGGGCAAGAGCCGGUGCGGUGACCCGCACGCGCCGAGGCAGCUUUCCUGAUCUCCUCGCCUUGCUUUGAACCCGCCAGCUCCUCCCGGACCGCACGCGCUGACGGGGGAAGGUGGCUCUUGGCUGCAGGGCCGAGCAACCGGGCGCUGCAGGAGGCAGGAUGCCGGCUGUCCCUAAAGCAUGGCGACCCCCCGGCACCUCUAACCAUCAGACAUCCUGGGGACGAGGUGGAGAGAGCGAUGCGCUCCAGAAGGAGCGGUUCCCUUCCCCCUCGCCGUCGGGUUUUAUUAAUUCCUCACGCGGUGAAGUCUCUAUUAAUAAUGGUUCUAGGAUCUGGCUGGUAAGCUGGGUAAUGAGAUUCUCUACCUGCUGUUCCUGUGCUGCUGUGAUUGUGUUUGGAGGACAAAAUUCUAUGUGGAUUAAUUAAAAUGAAAAACAAAAGGAAAAAAAGGGGUUUGUUUGAAUUAUUUACUAGUUUCCAGGAGACAAAGCAGUAAUUGGAAGUGUCUUAUUGCAGGUGUUUGGAGGGGGGGACGCUCCCUCCUCCAAGCGAGGAGCGAAGUCUGGUUAUUUACUGGUGUUGGAGGAGAUUUAUCAAUCCUCGCGAAUGCCGAGCACAGCUCCAAUUGCUCCUCGAUUUGCUGAUUCUGAUUUUCUCCUCUUGGUUUUGGAAAUUCAGAAGAGACAGGCUCCGAGACAGCUUUGAUGUGGGUAAAUGUGGGAACGCACGCUCUGCCAGCAGCGCGCUCUUCCCUCGUGCGUAAGUAAAUGUAAGGGAAAAAACCCAAACCAUCACGCCCUGAGGAACUGCCUGUUCCCAGUUGGCUUUCCAUCCCCACCAGCGUCCCUCCAGGUCACACGAAUGCCACCGCGUGUUC
RNA transcript from Grus americana (Whooping crane), 7619 nucleotides. It is a transcript of the gene named major facilitator superfamily domain containing 11, with no coding region annotated. The transcript is spliced from 18 exons. The record is from RefSeq and is a predicted model, not a curated record. Lineage: Eukaryota; Metazoa; Chordata; Aves; Gruiformes; Gruidae.